UUACUUUGGCAGAGGAUAUGCGUUAAAUUUAGAAUUUAAUUAUAUAGAAGAGCACUCUAUAGGUAAAAG
This 69-nucleotide transfer RNA is filed under the name Cherax quadricarinatus. RNAcentral's name for it is "tRNA-Leu". The record is from RNAcentral. Lineage: Eukaryota; Metazoa; Arthropoda; Malacostraca; Decapoda; Parastacidae.